AUGGGGUACAAUCUCUGUCGAGUUGAAUGGGACUUUCUCCAUAAGAGGAAGGAUGUGGUUGCCAAAGCUUUAGAAAAUGUUCUUCUGCUGGAUCAGGAACUGGAGAAACAUGAGUCUAUAGAAGAGCUGAGCAAAUAUUGCUUAGACCAGAAGAUAUCUUUUCCUAAGACUGUGUUGUCUGAAGAAGGCAAGAAGAAUCCAAAGGAAUGCUAUAUUUUUGAAGACAAGGUUCAGAUGCCCCAAUUAUACUUCACUUCCCACUGGAGAAUGCCUCUUUCAGGGAGUACGAAAAACCUGACUCUCACAGAUAAAAAUCUUUUCUGCACCCCCACCAACAAAAGGGAAUACAAAUAUACACAUCACCUAUGUAUAUUUACUGAAGACUAUUUAACAGUGGGACGAUAAACAUUUUGAUGGCUACAUCAUAUUUCAGAAUAAGUGUGAGUUAAUUCUUCCUAAAGGACUUUAUCAUUGUUUAAAUCAGUUUUAGGAUAUCUUAGGAAUCAGAGCAAGAACACACCUCAAUAAGAUCUAUGUACUUUCUCUACUUUCCCCCCCUCAGCUCCUGGUAUGAGAAGGAAAUAAUAAAGUAGAACUUACAUUGCCUAGAAGCCCA
RNAcentral lists this long non-coding RNA (616 nucleotides) under Pogona vitticeps (central bearded dragon). RNAcentral describes it as "lncRNA (ENSPVIG00000019495.1)". Lineage: Eukaryota; Metazoa; Chordata; Lepidosauria; Squamata; Agamidae. The record is from RNAcentral.